RNAcentral lists this ribosomal RNA (253 nucleotides) under uncultured bacterium. RNAcentral's name for it is "partial 16S ribosomal RNA". It matches the Rfam family "Bacterial small subunit ribosomal RNA", at positions 524 to 776 of the family's 1533-position model. The record is from RNAcentral.
UACAGAGGUCUCAAGCGUUGUUCGGAUUCAUUGGGCGUAAAGGGUGCGUAGGCGGCGCGGUAAGUCGGAUGUGAAAUCUCGGAGCUUAACUCCGAAACUGCAUUCGAUACUGCCGUGCUUGAGUGCGCUCGACGUGGGCGGAAUGUGCCGUGUAGCGGUGAAAUGCUUAGAUAUGGCACAGAACACCGAUAGUGAAGACAGCUCACGAGGGCGUUACUGACGCUGAGGCACGAAAGCGUGGGGAUCGAACAGG